Cinara cedri is the source of this 256-nucleotide non-coding RNA. Lineage: Eukaryota; Metazoa; Arthropoda; Insecta; Hemiptera; Aphididae. The record is from the annotation of a GenBank genome assembly.
AUUAUAUUUUUUUUGUAAAUACAUUUUGAAUCGUUCUAAUUACAUGAUUAUAUUGAUAUGAGCUUAAAUUAGUUUUUUUUCCUCUAGGUCUGUUUUUGCUUAUUUGUACAUAGUUUUCAAAAUAACCUCACAAAUUUAUUUAAUUCCAGUAGAUACUAUAUCGGCCUGCAUAUUAUUAUAUUAUUAACAAAAACGAAUGGAAUCGUCGUAUAAUAUUUAAGAUGACCGGUAAAAUAAUUACCACAGUAUCAGAAUG